UGUUCAGAUCUGCACCAAGUUCUACUAAUUAGGACUAAUUAGUGUGGAAUCUGUGGUGGUGGAAUAACAGCAGCAGCAGGCAGAUCUUGUUCACAACCAGGUGCAGCUCCACUGCAAUCCACCAAAGAGCAGAGCAACAAACAGCAGCCGUGUCUGUCAGAUCAAACUGCUGAAAGAGAGAAAGCCUUGAAAGCUCACCUUCAAAGAAGAGUCCACGAAGACCAAACUGUGCGACAUAUCAAUAAACAGAUAUGAUUAUA
Long non-coding RNA from Larimichthys crocea (large yellow croaker), 260 nucleotides. RefSeq lists it as uncharacterized. NCBI's taxonomy places the organism in Eukaryota, Metazoa, Chordata, Actinopteri, Sciaenidae. The transcript has 2 exons. The record is from RefSeq and is a predicted model, not a curated record.